This 550-nucleotide ribosomal RNA is filed under the name Microsphaeropsis arundinis. Its description in RNAcentral is "eukaryotic LSU rRNA". The stretch from base 179 to 332 matches the Rfam family "5.8S ribosomal RNA". Lineage: Eukaryota; Fungi; Ascomycota; Dothideomycetes; Pleosporales; Didymellaceae. The record is from RNAcentral.
UCGCGGCCUCCGGGGGCUCCCCCCGGGCGGUAGAGGUAACACUCUUACGCGCCACAUGUCUGAAUCCUUUUUUUACGAGCACCUUUCGUUCUCCUUCGGUGGGGCAACCUGCCGUUGGAACUUAUCAAAACCUUUUUUUGCAUCUAGCAUUACCUGUUCAGAUACAAUCAAUCGUUACAACUUUCAACAAUGGAUCUCUUGGCUCUGGCAUCGAUGAAGAACGCAGCGAAAUGCGAUAAGUAGUGUGAAUUGCAGAAUUCAGUGAAUCAUCGAAUCUUUGAACGCACAUUGCGCCCCUUGGUAUUCCAUGGGGCAUGCCUGUUCGAGCGUCAUCUACACCCUCAAGCUCUGCUUGGUGUUGGGCGUCUGUCCCGCCUCUGCGCGUGGACUCGCCCCAAAUUCAUUGGCAGCGGUCUUUGCCUCCUCUCGCGCAGCACAUUGCGCUUUAGAGGGGUGUGGGCCGCGUCCACGAAGCAACAUUAUCGUCUUUGACCUCGGAUCAGGUAGGGAUACCCGCUGAACUUAAGCAUAUCAAUAGCCGGGAGGAAGA